GACGAACGUUGGCGGCGCGCUUAACACAUGCAAGUCGAACGGAAAGGCCUGCUUUCCCUUGUGGAUUGCGGGUACUCGAGUGGCGAACGGGUGAGUAACACGUGAGUGAUCUGCCCCCAACUUGGGUAUAAGCCUGGGAAACUGGGUCUAAUUCCCGAUAGGACUGCAGGGUGGUGCCUGUGGUGGAAAACGAUUUUCUAGUGGUUGGGGAUGAGCUCGCGGCCUAUCAGCUUGUUGGUGGGGUAAUGGCCUACCAAGGCGGCGACGGGUAGCCGGCCUGAGAGGGUGGACGGCCACAUUGGGACUGAGAUACGGCCCAGACUCCUACGGGAGGCAGCAGUGGGGAAUAUUGCACAAUGGGCGGAAGCCUGAUGCAGCGACGCCGCGUGGGGGAUGACGGCCUUCGGGUUGUAAACUCCUUUCGACCGCGAGGAAGCCACCUGGUUGGAAGGGUGGUGACGGUAGUGGUAGAAGAAGCACCGGCUAACUACGUG
This 494-nucleotide ribosomal RNA is filed under the name uncultured bacterium. Its description in RNAcentral is "partial 16S ribosomal RNA". It matches the Rfam family "Bacterial small subunit ribosomal RNA", at positions 28 to 507 of the family's 1533-position model. The record is from RNAcentral.